AGACUGCCGGUGACAAAACCGGAGGAAGGUGGGGAUGACGUCAAGUCCUCAUGGCCCUUAUAGGUGGGGCUACACACGUCAUACAAUGGCUGGUACAAAGGGUUGCCAACCCGCGAGGGGGAGCCAAUCCCAUAAAGCCAGUCGUAGUCCGGAUCGCAGUCUGCAACUCGACUGCGUGAAGUCGGAAUCGCUAGUAAUCGUGGAUCAGCAUGUCACGGUGAAUACGUUCCCGGGUCUU
RNAcentral lists this ribosomal RNA (238 nucleotides) under uncultured Comamonas sp. RNAcentral describes it as "partial 16S ribosomal RNA". It matches the Rfam family "Bacterial small subunit ribosomal RNA", at positions 1146 to 1382 of the family's 1533-position model. Lineage: Bacteria; Pseudomonadati; Pseudomonadota; Betaproteobacteria; Burkholderiales; Comamonadaceae. The record is from RNAcentral.